This 492-nucleotide ribosomal RNA is filed under the name uncultured bacterium. Its description in RNAcentral is "partial 16S ribosomal RNA". It matches the Rfam family "Bacterial small subunit ribosomal RNA", at positions 29 to 507 of the family's 1533-position model. The record is from RNAcentral.
AGUGAACGCUGGCGGUAGGCCUAACACAUGCAAGUCGAACGGCGGCACAGUAAGAGCUUGCUCUUACGGGUGGCGAGUGGCGGACGGGUGAGGAAUACAUCGGAAUCUACUUUUUCGUGGGGGAUAACGUAGGGAAACUUACGCUAAUACCGCAUACGACCUACGGGUGAAAGCAGGGGAUCUUCGGACCUUGCGCGAUUGAAUGAGCCGAUGUCGGAUUAGCUAGUUGGCGGGGUAAAGGCCCACCAAGGCGACGAUCCGUAGCUGGUCUGAGAGGAUGAUCAGCCACACUGGAACUGAGACACGGUCCAGACUCCUACGGGAGGCAGCAGUGGGGAAUAUUGGACAAUGGGCGCAAGCCUGAUCCAGCCAUACCGCGUGGAUGAAGAAGGCCUUCGGGUUGUAAAGCCCUUUUGUUGGGAAAGAAAAGCAGCAGGUUAAUACCCCGCUGUUCUGACGGUACCCAAAGAAUAAGCACCGGCUAACUUCGUG